GACGAACGCUGGCGGCGUGCCUAAUACAUGCAAGUCGAACGCUGAAGGAGGAGCUUGCUCUUCUGGAUGAGUUGCGAACGGGUGAGUAACGCGUAGGUAACCUGCCUGGUAGCGGGGGAUAACUAUUGGAAACGAUAGCUAAUACCGCAUAAGAGUAGAUGUUGCAUGACAUUUGCUUAAAAGGUGCAAUUGCAUCACUACCAGAUGGACCUGCGUUGUAUUAGCUAGUUGGUGGGGUAACGGCUCACCAAGGCGACGAUACAUAGCCGACCUGAGAGGGUGAUCGGCCACACUGGGACUGAGACACGGCCCAGACUCCUACGGGAGGCAGCAGUAGGGAAUCUUCGGCAAUGGACGGAAGUCUGACCGAGCAACGCCGCGUGAGUGAAGAAGGGUUUCGGAUCGUAAAGCUCUGUUGUAAGAGAAGAACGAGUGUGAGAGUGGAAAGUUCACACUGUGACGGUAUCUUACCAGAAAGGGACGGCUAACUACGUG
Molecule: ribosomal RNA, 495 nt
Filed under: uncultured bacterium
Lineage: Bacteria
Description: partial 16S ribosomal RNA
Rfam family: Bacterial small subunit ribosomal RNA
Source: RNAcentral